AAAGAAUGUAUAUGAAUUUUAAUGUUGUGCAAUAUAAUUCUGCAGGCUGAUGCUUUCUCUCUUUGCUACUUUCCACAGUGUUAUCUAAUUUUAUCUGGUGUUUUGGAUUGCUUUCUUUUAAUCAUUAGAUAAUCUUUGUCCAUUUCAUAAUUUAGAAUUUGGAACCUCAGACUUGGAUCUUCUCUUUCUUCCAUUUGAUACUACAUAAGGUAACACAGUCAUUAAAUUUGAAAAUUUU
RNAcentral lists this unclassified non-coding RNA (238 nucleotides) under Hevea brasiliensis (rubber tree). The record is from RNAcentral. Lineage: Eukaryota; Viridiplantae; Streptophyta; Magnoliopsida; Malpighiales; Euphorbiaceae.